Molecule: non-coding RNA, 23 nt
Filed under: Arabidopsis thaliana (thale cress)
Lineage: Eukaryota; Viridiplantae; Streptophyta; Magnoliopsida; Brassicales; Brassicaceae
Source: RNAcentral
CAUUCAGGCCGGUGGAGCUUCCA